This 969-nucleotide long non-coding RNA is filed under the name Pan troglodytes (chimpanzee). RNAcentral describes it as "long non-coding RNA NONPTRT015192". The record is from RNAcentral. Lineage: Eukaryota; Metazoa; Chordata; Mammalia; Primates; Hominidae.
CGGGAGGGGGGCUCCACGGAGCUCCAGCCAGGGCCGCGGUGCGCCUGCACGUCACGGCUACUCAAACCCAAGCACGUCCCGAAAGCGGUAUUUUCUGCGUCUGGGAGGUUUUUGCAUCCUCAGUUCCCACCGCUGGGGCUGGCGGCGACCAACUGUAAGAGAAACUCACUGGGAGGCGAGGCAGGGGGGUGCGGAGGAUGGGAAGGCGACUCUGAAGGGUGGGAAGUGAAUGCUGGACUUGAUCGUCUUUCUCUUUCUUUCAGCGCAGACCUGUCGCAGCCAGAGAGCUGUCAUUUCAGUACCGGGAUUCAGAAUUGAUCCAGUCCGCAGCGGAGGGGGCACAUCCCAGCUACCGAGCUGCUGAGUGUCUCUGGCUGGAACAAUAGUAUUUUUUUCUCUGCGAGGCUGCAAUUAACAUCUUAUUUUUUCUGGCUCCAUACAGGCUUUGUCAGGAUCGCGGUGCGGCGACCGACGUUGGGCUCUUGCAUUGCUUUCUGCUUGGCAAUGGAAUCAUGAUAGUCAUUUUGCCUCCUGGACAGUUGGCUGACGAAGUGUCUGAUAAACCAGCUUCAGAUACAUGCUACAAAAGGCUACUGAGCUGGCCUGAUGAUGAUCCUGCUGAGAUAUAUUUAUAGCAGAUGAUUUGUGGAUGAUAACUACGCCAAGCAAGACACUGUCUCUAGUAACCCCAGGCUCGUCUGACUUCCUCAGGGGAUUAUAAUAAAGAAUCACAAAAAGAACCCUAUAUGGACAGUCUGGUCUCUGGACACUAACAACAGCACAAUCCAAAGGCAAAGCAAGGAGGAACCACCUUGUUUCAUGUCUGCAAGAUGCUCCAUAUGAAAGCAUUACUGACAUGUUGACCCAACAGCAAAAAGAGAGCAGCAGUUUACACACCCUCAGCUCUCUGUCCUUUCCUUUCUAUUGAUGUUGGUCCACUUUUAUGACUGAAUACAUAUUAAAAUCACC